Mytilus californianus (California mussel) is the source of this 598-nucleotide long non-coding RNA. RefSeq lists it as uncharacterized. NCBI's taxonomy places the organism in Eukaryota, Metazoa, Mollusca, Bivalvia, Mytilida, Mytilidae. The transcript is spliced from 3 exons. The record is from RefSeq and is a predicted model, not a curated record.
AUCGAACUGCUCAAAUCGUAUAAGACGUUCGUUAUUCUUCUUAUUUUUCACAAAGUAGUUCCCACUAUAACGAUAGUCAUUGGUCAACGAAGCAUCCUUUGACAAUGAAAUUACAGGGCAUUUUAAUCGUUAUAUGUUUCUUGAUCACACAGUUAUUGACAAAUAUUUCAUCAGGGAAUCCGCUGGAAACUCUAGUUCGAAGAAAUAAACCUAAUAGUCAUUCGCUCGAGGAAUUUGAGAAGACAUGUGAAAUGUGUGGACAACUGUACGGAUACGAUACAACCUACGACUGUAUGACGGAUCCUUCCAACAAAGUUUUCCGUCUAUGUUUGAGGGCAGUAGGGAGAAAAUAACUCAUUUCCGAAAAAAUAAUGAUUAAAUGAAAAUGUAAAAAGUGAACAGUUUUUUUACUGACUAGUAUGUGUACAUCUGCUGGUGUAUAAAAAGUAAAACUUUUAUUUACUCAAUUUGUUUGUGAGGUAUCUAUUUUUAAUACAUGUAUAUUCGGACAAUACUUCUUAUACAAUGUUAUAUAUUCAUAUAUACGACGUAACAAACAUUUUGUUGCUAAACUUUCACAAAAUAAAGAUAAAGUUGA